This 77-nucleotide transfer RNA is filed under the name Limnobacter thiooxidans. Its description in RNAcentral is "tRNA-Pro". It matches the Rfam family "tRNA". From Rfam's summary of the family: Transfer RNA (tRNA) molecules are approximately 80 nucleotides in length. Their secondary structure includes four short double-helical elements and three loops (D, anti-codon, and T loops). Lineage: Bacteria; Pseudomonadati; Pseudomonadota; Betaproteobacteria; Burkholderiales; Burkholderiaceae. RNAcentral also lists the same sequence under 8 other names. The record is from RNAcentral.
CGGAAUGUGGCGCAGCCUGGUAGCGCACUUGCAUGGGGUGCAAGGGGUCGGAGGUUCGAAUCCUCUCAUUCCGACCA